GGUCUUAUGGUGUAAUGGUUAGCACUCUGGACUUUGAAUCCAGCGAUCCGGGUUUCGAGUCCCGGUAGGACCU
RNAcentral lists this transfer RNA (73 nucleotides) under Pythium insidiosum. RNAcentral describes it as "tRNA-Gln". It matches the Rfam family "tRNA". Rfam says of the family: Transfer RNA (tRNA) molecules are approximately 80 nucleotides in length. Their secondary structure includes four short double-helical elements and three loops (D, anti-codon, and T loops). Lineage: Eukaryota; Oomycota; Peronosporomycetes; Pythiales; Pythiaceae. The record is from RNAcentral.